GACGAACGCUGGCGGCGUGCCUAAUACAUGCAAGUUGAGCGCUGAAGGUUGGUACUUGUACCGACUGGAUGAGCAGCGAACGGGUGAGUAACGCGUGGGGAAUCUGCCUUUGAGCGGGGGACAACAUUUGGAAACGAAUGCUAAUACCGCAUAAAAACUUUAAACACAAGUUUUAAGUUUGAAAGAUGCAAUUGCAUCACUCAAAGAUGAUCCCGCGUUGUAUUAGCUAGUUGGUGAGGUAAAGGCUCACCAAGGCGAUGAUACAUAGCCGACCUGAGAGGGUGAUCGGCCACAUUGGGACUGAGACACGGCCCAAACGCCUACGGGAGGCAGCAGUAGGGAAUCUUCGGCAAUAGACGAAAGUCUGACCGAGCAACGCCGCGUGAGUGAAGAAGGUUUUCGGAUCGUAAAACUCUGUUGGUAGAGAAGAACGUUGGUGAGAGUGGAAAGCUCAUCAAGUGACGGUAACUACCCAGAAAGGGACGGCUAACUACGUG
Molecule: ribosomal RNA, 497 nt
Filed under: uncultured bacterium
Lineage: Bacteria
Description: partial 16S ribosomal RNA
Rfam family: Bacterial small subunit ribosomal RNA
Source: RNAcentral